This 69-nucleotide transfer RNA is filed under the name uncultured Aquitalea sp. It matches the Rfam family "tRNA". From Rfam's summary of the family: Transfer RNA (tRNA) molecules are approximately 80 nucleotides in length. Their secondary structure includes four short double-helical elements and three loops (D, anti-codon, and T loops). The record is from RNAcentral. Lineage: Bacteria; Pseudomonadati; Pseudomonadota; Betaproteobacteria; Neisseriales; Chromobacteriaceae.
GUCGGUAGCUCAGCCGGUAGAGCAGCGGACUUUUAAUCCGUUGGUCGCGAGUUCGAAUCUCGCCCGACC